Molecule: long non-coding RNA, 243 nt
Organism: Mytilus californianus (California mussel)
Lineage: Eukaryota; Metazoa; Mollusca; Bivalvia; Mytilida; Mytilidae
Exons: 3
Source: RefSeq, a predicted model, not a curated record
AGGUUUUUAAGCUCGUUCAAGAAUUUGGAUACUGGCCUAACUAAUAUCAUCACUAAACAUGAUUUUAGCAGUGAUAUGUUGCAAGUGGAAGCAGCAGUACAUGUAGUAAACAAAAAAAUGACAUAUCAUUAGAAAAUGAUAUAAAAGAAGCGAGUGAGAUAUAUCUCAAUGAACCGAUGGAAGUAGAUUUUCUCGACUCUUUAUUAGAUGACCAAAAAAGGUUAUUUUAACAGAUGAAUACAG